This 1062-nucleotide long non-coding RNA is filed under the name Lactuca sativa (garden lettuce). RNAcentral describes it as "long non-coding RNA (LSAT_LNC008772)". Lineage: Eukaryota; Viridiplantae; Streptophyta; Magnoliopsida; Asterales; Asteraceae. The record is from RNAcentral.
UUUACACCAAUAUGGCAAUAAUCGAUCGUCUUAUUAAAAAAGUGGUUAUGUCACAUAACAUAACAGCCACAAACUAUUGCCAUAUUGCAUGCUAGGUCACUCAUCAUGUACUUGUAGUCUUAUACAAACCGAACAUUGAACUUCAUAUUUUGUUCCGCUUUAAGCUUUUGAACAGGUAAACCCAUCUGAGAAGGCAUCCUAUGUGGCAAAUAGUGUCCACUCUAUGUCCAUGUGGUGCUGACAUGGUAUCCAACAUGGACUUUUUAAUUUAAAUUCUAUUAGAACUUACAACUAAUACCAUAAAUAUAAAUACACCCAUUCCCAUAAUACAAUAACGGAAACAGAGAAGAUGGACAUCAGACCAAAUGUGGAUUUUAUGCAUCUCCACCCAAGAUCUGGAUGUGAAAGGGGAGUGAAAAGUUAUGACAGAAAAUUGGUCAUUCAAACAGAAAAGUUCUAUAAAGAGGAAGAGAUGAACAUUUUGUUAAUGAUUUUAGUCUUCAGGCGUUGAACUAUUAUACCCCUUUUAACAACUGAGAUAUAUUUGGCCUACAGUUGAAAGUGAAAAUGAAAUUUGACUUCCUUAUUUGGUAAAACCAGUUCCUUACUUGAUUAUAAAUUUACGCCAUAGGCCCUGAAACAUUGAUUUUUAGGUAAGUGCCCUAUAAUAUAUAUUGGUUAAAAUUAAAAGUUAAAAGUACAUCCUUUUUACAUGCAAUUUGUCCUAGUCAAAAAUACAUAUCUAUAAUGACUCAUGAAUACAAGUAUCAUACCCGAAAAGUUGUUUUAUGAAGAUUAUCAACUCAAACCAGUAGAAUUAUUAUGGUUAUAACUUAUAAGUGAAAUUAAGGGACUAUGAUAUAUAACAGAGGUAUGGCAUCCAAGCAUAAUGACUGCAGAUGGAAGAAAAAUAAUGGUACAUAUGUUAUACCUUAUUGAUGGCAUAAGUAUUCAGUGAAGUUUGCUGCCUAACAGAAGGUAAAGAUUUUGAUGACUCCAACAAUUUCGUUUGAGGAAGAUUACUCCACCCAUUUGAUUGAUAUGUAUGUUUUCUGGAUAACU